RNAcentral lists this ribosomal RNA (466 nucleotides) under uncultured bacterium. Its description in RNAcentral is "partial 16S ribosomal RNA". It matches the Rfam family "Bacterial small subunit ribosomal RNA", at positions 28 to 505 of the family's 1533-position model. The record is from RNAcentral.
GACGAACGCUGGCGGCGUGCUUAACACAUGCAAGUCGAACGGAAAGGCCCUGCUUUUGUGGGGUGCUCGAGUGGCGAACGGGUGAGUAACACGUGAGUAACCUGCCCUUGACUUUGGGAUAACUUCAGGAAACUGGGGCUAAUACCGGAUAGGAGCUCCUGCUGCAUGGUGGGGGUUGGAAAGUUUCGGCGGUUGGGGAUGGACUCGCGGCUUAUCAGCUUGUUGGUGGGGUAGUGGCUUACCAAGGCUUUGACGGGUAGCCGGCCUGAGAGGGUGACCGGCCACAGUGGGACUGAGAUACGGCCCAGACUCCUACGGGAGGCAGCAGUGGGGAAUAUUGCACAAUGGGCGGAAGCCUGAUGCAGCAACGCCGCGUGCGGGAUGACGGCCUUCGGGGUGUAAACCGCUUUCGCCUGUGACGAAGCGUGAGUGACGGUAAGGGGUAAAGAAGCACCGGCUAACUACG